This 425-nucleotide ribosomal RNA is filed under the name uncultured bacterium. RNAcentral's name for it is "bacterial SSU rRNA". It matches the Rfam family "Bacterial small subunit ribosomal RNA", at positions 355 to 796 of the family's 1533-position model. The record is from RNAcentral.
UAGGGAAUUUUCCACAAUGGACGAAAGUCUGAUGGAGCAACGCCGCGUGCAGGAUGAAUGCCUUCGGGUUGUAAACUGCUUUUGUUUGUGACGAUUAUGACGGUAGCAGACGAAUAAGGAUCGGCUAACUCCGUGCCAGCAGCCGCGGUCAUACGGAGGAUCCAAGCGUUAUCCGGAAUUACUGGGCGUAAAGAGUUGCGUAGGUGGCAUGGUAAGUUGGUAGUGAAAGCGUUCGGCUCAACCGAAUACACAUUAUCAAAACUGCCAAGCUAGAGGACGAGAGAGGUAACUGGAAUUCCAAGUGUAGGAGUGAAAUCCGUAGAUAUUUGGAGGAACACCGAUGGCGUAGGCAGGUUACUGGCUCGUUCCUGACACUCAGGCACGAAAGCGUGGGGAGCAAACGGGAUUAGAUACCCCCGUAGUCC